AUCAGCACCCAGACCGGCAGGCUGAGCAGGCUCUGUGUGGGUGAGACAGCAGAACCGGUGGGGUAGUCAGCAGAAAGAUCUGGACACCCCAGCCUAGAUGUCCCGUCCCCGAGCCCUGACAUCAGCCCUCCUCUCUUUACUAAUGCAUGAUGCCUGAUAACAGAAAUGCGUUGUUUAAAAGAAUAAGAAAACUCAGCAUGCUGAAGGUAACACUUCACAAGCUCUGCUCCUGGGUCCAAGGUCAGGAGAGGGACCAGGGGCUUGAGAAGAGUCCAUUUGGAAAAGACUUAAAGUUCUCCAGAAACAGCAGUAAUGGUGAUGACAACUAACAUGACCCGGCGGUGACUUUACCAGAACCGGGCUCUUGCUGCUCCUGCUGCAGGGGGAGAAUGAGGCAGAGGGAUGACCUGGAAGAGGAGCCAAGCUCUUCACACGUUCCAUUAAACAAGUAUGGAUGGAAUCUUUUUUGGAUAAGUGCAAAGAAAUGCCUGAAGUGACCUCUCACUUAUGGAGACCUGAUUUUUGAUAACCUCCACAUCCCACAGCCUGUGAAUAAACCAAAAAAAGAGAAAAGCCA
This 577-nucleotide long non-coding RNA is filed under the name Homo sapiens (human). RNAcentral's name for it is "non-protein coding NCF4-AS1:9". The record is from RNAcentral. Lineage: Eukaryota; Metazoa; Chordata; Mammalia; Primates; Hominidae.